ACGGAGGGUGCGAGCGUUGUCCGGAAUCACUGGGCGUAAAGGGCGCGUAGGCGGUGCUGUAAGUCUGUGGUGAAAUCUCUGGGCUCAACUCAGAGUCUGCCAUAGAAACUGCAGUGCUGGAGUGUGGGAGAGGCAGGUGGAAUUCCCGGUGUAGCGGUGGAAUGCGUAGAGAUCGGGAAGAACAUCAGUGGCGAAGGCGGCCUGCUGGGCUGUUGCUGACGCUCAGGCGCGACAGCGUGGGGAUCAAACAGGA
RNAcentral lists this ribosomal RNA (253 nucleotides) under uncultured prokaryote. Its description in RNAcentral is "partial 16S ribosomal RNA". It matches the Rfam family "Bacterial small subunit ribosomal RNA", at positions 525 to 777 of the family's 1533-position model. The record is from RNAcentral.